GAUGAAGAACGUAGCGAAAUGUGAUACGUAAUGUGAAUUGCAGAAUUCAGUGAAUCAUCGAAUCUUUGAACGCAUAUUGCGCUCUCUGGUAUUCCGGAGAGCAUGCUUGUUUGAGUAUCAGUAAACACCUCAACUCCCUUUUCUUUUUUGAAAUUGGAGCUGGACUUGAGUGAUCCCAACGCUUUCUUCCAAGAAAGUGGCGGGUUGCUUGAAAUGCAGGUGCAGCUGAACUUUUCUCUGAGCUAUAAGCAUAUCUAUUUAGUCUGCCUAAAAAACAGAUUAUUACCUUUGCUGCAGCUAACAUAAAGGAGACUAGUUCUUGUGCUGACUGAUGCAGGAUUCACAGAGACAGCUUCGGCUGACUUUGUAAACUCGAUCUCAAAUCAAGUAAGACUACCCGCUGAACUUAAGCAUAUCAAUAAGCGGAGGA
RNAcentral lists this unclassified non-coding RNA (430 nucleotides) under soil metagenome. Its description in RNAcentral is "partial contains 5.8S ribosomal RNA, internal transcribed spacer 2, and large subunit ribosomal RNA". The stretch from base 1 to 120 matches the Rfam family "5.8S ribosomal RNA", at positions 35 to 154 of the family's 154-position model. The record is from RNAcentral.